UGGCGGCGCUGAGGUCAUCGCUCGCUGUCGUCAGUGCUAGGAACCUGCGCCCGGCUGAGCUGAGCGAGGCGAGAGGAGAAAGCGAGGCCCGGGGACGGGACUGAGAGCUCUGAAAGGAGGGAGGCGGCUCCCGAGUACUCCGCGCGGGGCAGGCCCCGGCCUCGCCUCUUCGCCCAUUUUUAAGGCUCGAGUUAGAGGCCACCUCCUCCGAGAAGCCUUCGGUGACACCACCUCUCCCAGACGGUUCCCCUUUCUGAUUCCCACAGCAUUUUCCAACCAUUCACGGGACCGCCACCAUCACAGGCACUCGGUAGAUGUCUGCUGAAUGAGGAUAACUUCUACCCAACACCGUGAAGCCUGGCCCAGGGUCUGGCAUACAGAUGCCGUGUUUGUAAGUCCUGGUUGCUCAUCUCGCCCACUUGCACAGCCCACCUGUGUGGCCGACUCAGGAUUGACCCACCUGCUCUCUUCAGGCCAUAUUCCCACGCAGAAGUGGGUCCCACUCCUCAGGCCUCUGUGCUGGCCCCGUCUGUGGGGUUAGCAAGCAGCCCUGCUCUCCAUUUCCAGCUCAGAAGCAACUGGAUCGUUACCUCAUUGGUGACAACUUGACUGUGCUGCCCAGAGCUGAUAAGAAACAUCACCCGGGGAAGACCAGCUGCCUCUUCCUUGCUUCCUAAUCAGGGUGGAAAUACUGCUAAAUAUAUCACAACUCUUUGCAAGCAUCGUUGGGUAAUGAUCGGGACAUCUUUGUGGGUUCCCUAUCAUUUUCUCACAAAGUUGAGCCUUUCAAGGUCAGUUCUAGGCCAGCCAGUCUGGGAGUCAUUCUUUAGAAUCAGAAGAGAAUUUAAGAAGAGGAGAAGAUAAGAUUGUCUCUAAAACCUGCUAAUGAGAACUACAGGAAGGUGGGGAUGCUAGCUACUUUUAAUAUUUCUGGUUUGAACCCCUUCCUCCACCCCAGAAUGAACUGAGAGUAGGUACAGAAAUAGAUAAUGCAAAGACGGUUAGGGUUGAGGGUAAGCAGAAAACUACCCAUCUAGACCGAAGGAAGGCUUGCUAACAUAUCAGUAAGCAAACAGCUUUCUAAUCUGCAGGUAACAAGUUUUACAUCCCUGAGGACACUUUUUGAGAUAGGACUUUGUUUGUUUGUUUGUUUGUUGUUUUUUGUUUUUUUGAGACAGAGUCUCGCUCUGUCUCCCAGGCUGGAGUGCAGUGGCAUGGUCUCGGCUCACUGCAACCUUCACCUCCCAGGAUCAAACGAUUCUCCUGCCUCAGCCUCCUGAAUAGCUGGGAUUACAGGUGCAUGCCACCAUGUCCAGCUAUUUUUGUGUGUGUGUGUGUGUGUGUGUGUGUGUGUGUAUUUUUAGUAGAGAUGGGGUUUCAUCAUGUUGGUCAGGCUGGUCUGAAACUCCUGACCUCGUGAUCUGCCCUCCUCAGCCUCCCAAAGUGCUGGGAUUAUAGGCGUGAGCCACCGGGCCCAGCCUGGGGCUUUUUGAGACCCUAUUGAAGGCUGAGGAAGAAUCUGGAAGCUAAAGAGUAACCCAUUCCACCACCUGCUCUGAAGAUAGAAGAAGCAAAAAAAGAUUAAAUUGUACAAAAAGCACUUAAAUUAGACAACAGAAGAAUUUCCUGAUACAAAGUGGGUGUCUAAGAUGUGUUAAACAAGAUGCCUGCUCCAGCCAGGACUCAGACACUCCUGGAUGGAGAGCAUCUUCACAGUUUGGGAUAAAAGUGACUAUACAGAGUGGUGGAGUGAAGGCUGCAGGCCCCUCCCCAAGGUGGCAUCUAACCCCGGAGGUAUCAGGACCUCAGAGGCUACCCACAUGAUUUCCAGCUGAUGAGCAGAAAUAGCUGUGGCAGGUGCAGGCUUCACUUGCUGCCACCAACAUGGGAGCUCACCAAACACCCAGUGGCCAAAAGAACCAGGGUCUCUCUAAGCCCUGGGCUCACCGCCAGGCAAGCUUGGGUGCUUGGGAGGGCCGUCGUUCUUCACAGUGCAGCCCCUGGAUUUCUUCUCAAUUUACUCAACUCUCUCUCUUGAAUCCCAUCUGUGCAGCUUAGAAGUCACAAAUUAGAACCCCCCAAGGCAAAGCUGACCAUAGAUACAAAUGGUUUUGUCUGUAUAGUGUUUAAGCACUUAAAAAAUUCAUUGUGAACAUUUAAUAAUUAGAAAGUGUCAAAAUGAAAAUAUCUAUAGUUUCUCUCUAAAAACCAGAAGAUCUGUUAACACUGAUCCCACACUUCUAUUUGGCAAUGACUGGCCCCUAAGACAGGGGGUAUGUCCUCUAGCUCACCACAGUCUCCACCUUUACCUACUGCAUCCCUGCUGAGACAAAGUGGUACAUGCCAUUUAUUAAGGAUGAAUGCUGUUUUUUUUAAUUAUACUUAAUCCUCAUUUGCAUUACCUGCCUUCAUUCUGGAGGUAUUUGAGUUUGCAUCUCCUGAUAAAGAAUAAA
RNAcentral lists this long non-coding RNA (2453 nucleotides) under Homo sapiens (human). RNAcentral's name for it is "HSALNT0020236". Lineage: Eukaryota; Metazoa; Chordata; Mammalia; Primates; Hominidae. The record is from RNAcentral.